Mycena leptocephala is the source of this 99-nucleotide non-coding RNA. The record is from the annotation of a GenBank genome assembly. NCBI's taxonomy places the organism in Eukaryota, Fungi, Basidiomycota, Agaricomycetes, Agaricales, Mycenaceae.
UCGGACAUGGUGUAUGGCACACCGCCUCUUGUCUUGCAAAGGAAUAUUAAUCUCCAAUGAUGUUGGAGGCAGACCGGGGUUCGACUCCCCGUGUCCGAA